Molecule: non-coding RNA, 1977 nt
Organism: Microcebus murinus (gray mouse lemur)
Lineage: Eukaryota; Metazoa; Chordata; Mammalia; Primates; Cheirogaleidae
Source: RefSeq, a predicted model, not a curated record
GUUAUGAUUCUAGUAAAUAUUCAGUUAUCUUUAAGUUGAUCCGUAAUAUAUUCAACAGUAUCAUGAGAGCAUAAUUUUUUUGAUGAUGCGUCCAAUGUUUCUAUCAGUUCAUCCUAGCAACAGAGCCAAGUUUAGAGUUAUUGCUGCCUGGGUUAUAACAGCUGGCCCUGGGAAUCUUGUCUGAACAGCAAGCUAACUGCUGUUCACAGUAAUAUCUGGUCUUUCCCACCCCCAAACAUACACAAAAGAUUUUUGUCAUUCUUGGCAUUGGGCAGUAGAAGUAGCAAGACAUGCCAGCAGAACUCUAAAGGCAGAAUGUCCUUCCACCUGUUUUAUGCUGUAAGACAGACUUCCAAGAGCGAGGCGGUGUAGAGGGCUGUUUCCGUGAAUGGCAGCUGAAUGCACCAGCGGGGUCCUUGGCAGCGAUGCCCGGGCACUGAAGCCGGGCAUUCAGGAGAGCUAAAUGGAGAAAAGAAACUUGAGCAAACCGCUUCCUGGAACACUGAGAACCUGAAUGGGAAAUUAAGAAGUACCAGAUUCUUUCUAUUCUUACACCAGCCAAGCCUGUCAGUUUCAUCAGUUUCGUCCUCAAGCUGGCUUCAUGAUGGUUGUAAGACGGCUGCUAUCAGACCAUGUUCUACAUGCAGAUGCAAACGAAGGUGAUGAAGAGCAACAAGAACAACUGCAAGGAACACAUUUUUCCAGCCUGUUCCUGAUGGCACACCACAGAGGACAAUGGGUCCAGUGUGCCAAGCAGGCUGGGGAACUCAGAGCUAGAUGAAGAGCAAGGGAAAGAGGCUGCCAAAGCUCAAACUCAGAGAAUGAACGUCCUACCAGGAGGUUGCAGGGGAUAUCCUUUUUGUGAAAGAUUCUGUCCUGGGUUUAAAGGAUCUCUCGGCUGCUGGGUUGAGAAUAGACGCUGGAGGCCGAGGGCGGAGGCAGGGAAACCAGUUAGGAGACUACCGCAGUGAUCCCGGUGAGAGACGAUGCACGUGACGUCCUCGCCUCGGCGCCUGGCAUGGAGCCCGCUCUGGAUGAGGGCCCAUUAGCAUCCUGUCAUGACCCGGAUCCACACUCACAUACCCGGCAAAGGAAGAUCACGGAUUUGUUCUCUGUUCUGCAUCUUUCUCAGCCAUCCUUCUACUACCAUCAUCGUCCCCUUCCUUAAUCACUCUCUUCCCCCGUUCUCCUCUUUUUGUGUCCUCACCCUGUUGUCUUGGUUUUGUUACUCUCAUGAAUAGUUUGCUUUUCCAGGGCACAGUUUGGGGGGUUUAACUGGAAUCUUGGGGAGAGAGUAGCGAGCCUUUUGGCAUGCAGUCCCCAGGGUCAUAUUCCACAGGACGCUUGAGGAGGACAAGGGAGCAGAAGAGGGGGCCUGGCGUGGAAGGCCAGAGAGGUGGCUCUGCCGUGCAAACUGCACAGAUGCCACAGCCAGAGCGCUGGCCCCCUGUUGGCAUGCAGCUGGGAGAAGAGAAGCCUCUCCUGGUAUUUCAGGUAAUAACUUGAAAGAAUGAGAAGGUAAGGGGCUCAGAUACUGGCACUGCCACUGGAUGGGCUGGAGGAGUGAAGAUCAAAAGGUCUUUUUCAGGAAAUCAGGAGGUACAGGCUUGGUAGAGAAGCCACCACCGAUAAUGCCACACCCACAGCACCGAAGCACGAGGUUCAGAAGGAUCCUCAUUGAUCCUGGGCACCACGUUGGUGUCACAAUCCCAGAUUGCUGUCCAAUGAGAUCUUCCUAAUACUAGUGCUAGAAAACAAGUGUAUAUUACUUAUUUGAUUAAACUGUAUACAUAUAUACAAUAAAGUUUUAAAAUUUUCUCAAUGAAUCAUAUUGUUCAUGAAUUGCCAAGCUAGUAAGAGGAAGAUUACUAACCAAAACCUCUACUAGCAAAAGCACUGCGAUUAGAGCACAGUCUCUCCUAUUUAAAAAAUAUACAUAUAUAAACAUAUAUGUAAAUAUAAUUUAUUAUAUUUUUU